RNAcentral lists this ribosomal RNA (264 nucleotides) under uncultured bacterium. RNAcentral describes it as "partial 16S ribosomal RNA". It matches the Rfam family "Bacterial small subunit ribosomal RNA", at positions 89 to 354 of the family's 1533-position model. The record is from RNAcentral.
UGGCGACCGGCGCACGGGUGAGUAACACGUAUCCAACCUGCCGAUGACUCGGGGAUAGCCUUUCGAAAGAAAGAUUAAUACCCGAUGGCAUAGUUCUUCCGCAUGGUAGAACUAUUAAAGAAUUUCGGUCAUCGAUGGGGAUGCGUUCCAUUAGCUUGUUGGCGGGGUAACGGCCCACCAAGGCAUCGAUGGAUAGGGGUUCUGAGAGGAAGGUCCCCCACAUUGGAACUGAGACACGGACCAGACUCCUACGGAAGGCAGCAG